Molecule: non-coding RNA, 24 nt
Filed under: Rattus norvegicus (Norway rat)
Lineage: Eukaryota; Metazoa; Chordata; Mammalia; Rodentia; Muridae
Source: RNAcentral
GCACAUAGUUGUAGCUAGGAGGAC